Molecule: long non-coding RNA, 545 nt
Organism: Mastomys coucha (southern multimammate mouse)
Lineage: Eukaryota; Metazoa; Chordata; Mammalia; Rodentia; Muridae
Exons: 3
Source: RefSeq, a predicted model, not a curated record
UUGACAGUGAGACAUGUCUGCUCCUGGAAGAACCCCACUCUACUUUAAAGGAUAUGAUGAGCACUGAAGAACCUCCAUAUGGAGUUUGCUUCAGAUGUGGCAAAGCUAGCCACCAGGCACCAAAUUGCCCUUGCCUCAACUAUAGACAGCAUGCUGCUCAAACUGGACAAGCAGGACAUGAAGAAAGUCGACUGCUAAGCUUUGCAAGAACAAGGAAAAGAAAAGCUAUGGGUUCCUUCCAAGUUGAUAAAAAUCAGACAUAUCAAAGGGAAACCUCCUGAAGACUUUGGCAAUGGACAAAAAGAACGAGAUUGACAAGAUCAACAAGGUGGUCUUCCGGAGAUCCACAGAAUAUGGCAUUUAAUAUUAUUUCAUCAUCAAAGAUCAUUUGACUAGGAGACAGAUAUGCUCUUGACAGUAUCCCCAUUCCAGUGCAAGGAAGAUAUUGAGCAUCAUUACCUCCAAACAGAGUUGCUUCAAUCAUGGCAAGGUAGCCACUGGGCAAGAAUUGCCCUAAUUCAUCUACAGCCAAAAAUACUGUCUAA